This 1543-nucleotide long non-coding RNA is filed under the name Felis catus (domestic cat). RNAcentral's name for it is "lncRNA (ENSFCAG00000052666.1)". Lineage: Eukaryota; Metazoa; Chordata; Mammalia; Carnivora; Felidae. The record is from RNAcentral.
AGUGGCGGGGCGGCGCGGCCGAGGGCGGAGGGCGGCGGGCCGGGCGGGGCGGGAUGGGGGCCGGGGGCGGCGGGCGCCGCACUAGCUGAGGCCCGACGCAGGGCCGGGCGCGCCCAGGGCCGGAGCGCAGCGGCCGGAGGGGCCGCGGAGGCGACGCCGAGGCCGCGCGCGCGCGCGCGCGCGACGAGCAGGUGGCGGCGGCUGCAGAUUUGAGGGGAGCCCUGUGACCGCUUCCCCUCCCGGCACCGGUGCAACAGUGACGCGACUCCGAAUCCUGGAUCCGAAUCCUCCCCUGCUCCCCCUGGGAUCACAGGUGGCAAGACGAAGAGGAGCAGACAGAGGCGAGAGACCGCCCCACCGUGGUCAUCGGGGGGGCGCGGGGACGGAGCCCCGGUCAGGCCCUGGCCCGCACACCAGGGGCCACGGCCAGAAAAGGUGCAGAGACCAAGCGCCGGGGCCGACGUGGGGCGGACGGAGUCCCACCGUGGGUGCGAAGGGGCGCCCGCGGGGCAGACCGUGUGGCGGGACCUGCCGGGGAGGCGGCCUCACUCCUGGGCACGCACCAGUGAGCGCACGGCAGGGCCCGUGCGCUCAGUGUCCCGGCCGCUGUGGUCCUGACGCUCAAACCCCGGGAUCGCUCUACCUGCCCGUCUCCAAAGAGAAUGAAGAGGUAGCUUCUGGAAUAUUCACGCGGUGGGAGAGAGAAGGAGGCAGUUACAGGUUUAAAUUAAAAGUUCGGAAAAGGUGGAAGAGAGAGCUGUCGAUACAGAAGACGGGCCAGGGAACCCAGCACACGUGUCGUCCGCAGCCCAGAGCCUGAUGCCCCCUUUCGGGGUAGAAGUUCGCGUUUAUGCCCAGAAGUGUAUUUUGCUGGAACUGUCUUACAAAGAGCCUCUCUGCGAGCGUCGAGCGGAUCACAUAAGAUUUUUCCAUCCACCCGUUAAUUUGGUGAAGCCAUGAGGAGCUUCUUUGCCUUCCUGGACACCGCGUCUGGGCCGCGGGUCGCUGUUUUCUGCUCCGUUGCUGUGUUUGGUCGGUCCGUGACGUUUCGUUUGGGGUUGUCUGCGCCCAUUGCCAGAGUGAGUCUGGCUGGCGAUUGUCCCGUAUCACACCGUCCUCGUCCGGCCCGGCGUCUGGUUGUGCCGGUCUCCUAACCGGAGUCAGGCACCGUUGCCCCUUUCUGUGCUGUGUAAGACACACCACAUAAGCUCGAGACUGUGUGUGUCUUAUGUGGAUUCUUGGUCUGCGUAGAUCCUAGUUCACGCCCUGGUUCGGCUGCAGAUCUGUUCGGGUUUCCCGACCCUUGUUCUGGGGAGGAAUGUGCGUGUGUAACAGGCGGCCCCAGCGCUUGCUGGCUUUAAACAGCAGCACGUGUCGUCUCCCCGUUUCCGUGGUCCAGGAGCCCAGGCACAGCCUGGCCGGGUCCUCAGGCUCCGCACUCUCACCGGCCGCCGUCGUCCCUGAAGGCUCGGUGGAAGGACCCAUUCCCAAGUUCGCUCCCGCGUGGAGGUCAGGAUUCAGUUCCUUGCCGGUCGUUCUGAGG